CAGUGGGGAAUUUUGGACAAUGGGGGAAACCCUGAUCCAGCCAUCCCGCGUGUGCGAUGAAGGCCUUCGGGUUGUAAAGCACUUUUGGCAGGAAAGAAACGUCGCGGGCUAAUACCUCACGGAACUGACGGUACCUGCAGAAUAAGCACCGGCUAACUACGUGCCAGCAGCAGCGGUAAUCAGUAGGGUGCAAGCGUUAAUCGGAAUUACUGGGCGUAAAGCGUGCGCAGGCGGUUCGGAAAGAAAGAUGUGAAAUCCCAGAGCUUAACUUUGGAACUGCAUUUUUAACUACCGGGCUAGAGUGUGUCAGAGUGAGGUGGAAUUCCGCGUGUAGCAGUGAAAUGCGUAGAUAUGCGGAGGAACACCGAUGGCGAAGGCAGCCUCCUGGGAUAACACUGAUGCUCAUGCACGAAAGCGUGGGGAGCAAACAGGAGUAGA
Molecule: ribosomal RNA, 438 nt
Filed under: uncultured bacterium
Lineage: Bacteria
Description: bacterial SSU rRNA
Rfam family: Bacterial small subunit ribosomal RNA
Source: RNAcentral